RNAcentral lists this ribosomal RNA (490 nucleotides) under uncultured bacterium. Its description in RNAcentral is "partial 16S ribosomal RNA". It matches the Rfam family "Bacterial small subunit ribosomal RNA", at positions 29 to 505 of the family's 1533-position model. The record is from RNAcentral.
AGUGAACGCUGGCGGUAGGCCUAACACAUGCAAGUCGAACGGCAGCACAGUAAGAGCUUGCUCUUACGGGUGGCGAGUGGCGGACGGGUGAGGAAUACAUCGGAAUCUACUUUUUCGUGGGGGACAACGUAGGGAAACUUACGCUAAUACCGCAUACGACCUACGGGUGAAAGCAGGGGAUCUUCGGACCUUGCGCGAUUGAAUGGGCCGAUGUCGGAUUAGCUAGUUGGCGGGGUAAAGGCCCACCAAGGCGACGAUCCGUAGCUGGUCUGAGAGGAUGAUCAGCCACACUGGAACUGAGACACGGUCCAGACUCCUACGGGAGGCAGCAGUGGGGAAUAUUGGACAAUGGGCGCAAGCCUGAUCCAGCCAUACCGCGUGGGUGAAGAAGGCCUUCGGGUUGUAAAGCCCUUUUGUUGGGAAAGAAAAGCAGCAGGUUAAUACCCCGCUGUUCUGACGGUACCCAAAGAAUAGGCACCGGCUAACUUCG